GAGGAGCCGCUCAUCGUCUGCAAAGCAGACGAUUCUUAUAGCGGCGACGACCUGCCGCUGAGCGUAUGCGAAGGGGCGCUUCCU
Molecule: small RNA, 84 nt
Filed under: uncultured Eubacterium sp.
Lineage: Bacteria; Bacillati; Bacillota; Clostridia; Eubacteriales; Eubacteriaceae
Description: GA-cis RNA
Rfam family: GA-cis RNA
Source: RNAcentral